UACGAAGGGGGCUAGCGUUGUUCGGAAUUACUGGGCGUAAAGCGCACGUAGGCGGAUUUGUAAGUCAGGGGUGAAAUCCCGGGGCUCAACCUCGGAACUGCCUUUGAUACUGCAAGUCUUGAGUCCGGGAAGAGGUGAGUGGAAUUCCUAGUGUAGAGGUGAAAUUCGUAGAUAUUCGCAAGAACACCAGUGGCGAAGGCGACUUACUGGACACAUAUUGACGCUGAGGUGCGAAAGCGUGGGGAGCAAACAGG
This 254-nucleotide ribosomal RNA is filed under the name uncultured bacterium. Its description in RNAcentral is "partial 16S ribosomal RNA". It matches the Rfam family "Bacterial small subunit ribosomal RNA", at positions 524 to 776 of the family's 1533-position model. The record is from RNAcentral.